AACGAACGCUGGCGGCAUGCCUAACACAUGCAAGUCGAACGAGACCUUCGGGUCUAGUGGCGCACGGGUGCGUAACGCGUGGGAACCUGCCCUUAGGUUCGGACUAACUCCCCGAAAGGGGUGUUAAUACCGGAUAAUGUCUUCGGACCAAAGAUUUAUCGCCUUUGGAUGGGCCCGCGUUGGAUUAGCUAGUUGGUAGGGUAAAAGCCUACCAAGGCGACGAUCCAUAGCUGGUCUGAGAGGAUGAUCAGCCACACUGGGACUGAGACACGGCCCAGACUCCUACGGGAGGCAGCAGUGGGGAAUAUUGGACAAUGGGCGAAAGCCUGAUCCAGCAAUGCCGCGUGAGUGAUGAAGGCCUUAGGGUUGUAAAGCUCUUUUACCCGGGAUGAUAAUGACAGUACCGGGAGAAUAAGCGCCGGCUAACUCCGUG
RNAcentral lists this ribosomal RNA (433 nucleotides) under uncultured bacterium. Its description in RNAcentral is "partial 16S ribosomal RNA". It matches the Rfam family "Bacterial small subunit ribosomal RNA", at positions 29 to 507 of the family's 1533-position model. The record is from RNAcentral.